CGGCAGCUGCCACUCAAAGGCUCUGCAUCCGGGUGGCUUGGCAGGGGUGUCCUCUGGAGAUCCAGCGGUCGGCGGGGUCGGCUGGGAGAGGCUGCCGCCACCAUCAGGUCACCGAGAUAAGGUCUUGCUCUGUUGUCCAGGUUGCAGUGCAGUAGUGCAAUUACAGCUCACUGUAGUCUCAAUCCCCUGGGCUCAAGUGAUCGUCCCUCCUCAGUCUACCAAGUAGCUGGGACUACAGGCAUGCACCACCACACCCAACUAAUUUUUGGACUUGUUGUAGAGUGAAAGUGCUGCAGCAAUCUCGGCCUUUGGCACUCUCCUCAGGAAUUUAUGAAGCUUGUGAUGUGAAUGAUGGAGCCAGCUAAGCCUCCUCUGCACUGACAGCUCAGCACAAUGACCUGUUGGGUGAUGAAAGAAAUGCCAGGUGCUUCAGUUUUCUGUUCCACCGAGUGGAUGUGUCCCCC
Molecule: long non-coding RNA, 464 nt
Filed under: Homo sapiens (human)
Lineage: Eukaryota; Metazoa; Chordata; Mammalia; Primates; Hominidae
Source: RNAcentral